UUAACACAUGCAAGUCGAACGGUAACAUAGGAGCUUGCUCCUGAUGACGAGUGGCGGACGGGUGCGUAACGCGUAGGAAUCUGCCUAUUAGUGGGGGACAACAUGGUGAAAACCAUGCUAAUACCGCAUACGCCCUACGGGGGAAAGCGGGGGACCUCACCACUAAAUAUCUUUGAAAUAAAAUACUCUUAAAUUUUAAGAGUGACUAGGUUAUAGGAAUAACCUAGAGAGGGUGUUUAGUGGUGAGGCCUCGCGCUAAUAGAUGAGCCUGCGUUAGAUUAGCUAGUUGGUGAGGUAAAGGCUCACCAAGGCGACGAUCUAUAGCUGGUCUGAGAGGACGAUCAGCCACACUGGGACUGAGACACGGCCCAGACUCCUACGGGAGGCAGCAGUGGGGAAUAUUGGACAAUGGGCGAAAGCCUGAUCCAGCAAUACCGCGUGUGUGAAGAAGGCCUGAGGGUUGUAAAGCACUUUCAAUUGGGAGGAAAACAGGCAGGUUAACAUCCUGUCUCUUGACAUUACCUUUAGAAGAAGCACCGGCUAACUCCGUGCCAGCAGCCGCGGUAAUACGGAGGGUGCGAGCGUUAAUCGGAAUUACUGGGCGUAAAGAGUUCGUAGGCGGUAAGUUAAGUUAGAUGUGAAAGCCCCGGGCUUAACCUGGGAACUGCAUUUAAAACUGGCUUACUCGAGUUUAGUAGAGGGAAGUGGAAUUUCAGGUGUAGCAGUGAAAUGCGUAGAGAUCUGAAGGAACACCAGUGGCGAAGGCGACUUCCUGGACUAAAACUGACGCUGAGGAACGAAAGCGUGGGUAGCAAACGGGAUUAGAUACCCCGGUAGUCCACGCCGUAAACGAUGUCAACUAGCCGUUGGGUCUAUUCGUAGACUUAGUGGCGGAGCUAACGUAUUAAGUUGACCGCCUGGGGAG
This 925-nucleotide ribosomal RNA is filed under the name uncultured bacterium. RNAcentral's name for it is "bacterial SSU rRNA". It matches the Rfam family "Bacterial small subunit ribosomal RNA", at positions 48 to 880 of the family's 1533-position model. The record is from RNAcentral.